UACGGGGGGGGCAAGCGUUGUUCGGAAUUACUGGGCGUAAAGGGCUCGUAGGUGGCCAACUAAGUCAGACGUGAAAUCCCUCAGCUUAACUGGGGAACUGCGUCUGAUACUGGAUGGCUUGAGUUUGGGAGAGGGAUGCGGAAUUCCAGGUGUAGCGGUGAAAUGCGUAGAUAUCUGGAGGAACACCGGUGGCGAAGGCGGCAUCCUGGACCAAUAUUGACGCUGAGGAGCGAAAGCCAGGGGAGCAAACAGG
RNAcentral lists this ribosomal RNA (253 nucleotides) under uncultured bacterium. Its description in RNAcentral is "partial 16S ribosomal RNA". It matches the Rfam family "Bacterial small subunit ribosomal RNA", at positions 524 to 776 of the family's 1533-position model. The record is from RNAcentral.